This 95-nucleotide microRNA precursor is filed under the name Pteropus vampyrus (large flying fox). RNAcentral describes it as "miRNA (ENSPVAG00000026706.1)". The record is from RNAcentral. Lineage: Eukaryota; Metazoa; Chordata; Mammalia; Chiroptera; Pteropodidae.
AUUUGUGUUAAUUUUUCCAACUGUGUGUGUGUGUGUAUAUAUAAAUACACAUACACACACACACACACACACACACACACACACACACACACACA